GGGGAACGGCUAUGGCGUCCCCAGAGAUGACCACAUGGGAAGAGUAUGGAUUACAAGAGCGUCGAGGACGCGAUCUUCGGUUUGGAAAGUUAGUGAUAAGCAGCCAGGUUAUAAUGCAAGUGACUCAGAUUCAGAUGAACUGAAGGGUGAUUCUUAGCACGACGAAGUUGGCCUUCGUGUCCGAUCAAAUUUUGAGCUGGAUGUCGUAGGCUGUGCUUGGAAUCGUGCUGACCCUCGCCCGUCAUGGAUGUGCCUGUAACAAGAUUUAUACUUUCUUCAGUUAAUUUUGUUUAUUUUCUGGACGUAUCACUGUACCUAAGCCUUUAUUUUCAUGGGAAGACAAUCAUUUGUUAAUUGCAA
Long non-coding RNA from Pyrus x bretschneideri (Chinese white pear), 360 nucleotides. RefSeq lists it as uncharacterized. NCBI's taxonomy places the organism in Eukaryota, Viridiplantae, Streptophyta, Magnoliopsida, Rosales, Rosaceae. The transcript is spliced from 4 exons. The record is from RefSeq and is a predicted model, not a curated record.